This 253-nucleotide ribosomal RNA is filed under the name uncultured bacterium. RNAcentral describes it as "partial 16S ribosomal RNA". It matches the Rfam family "Bacterial small subunit ribosomal RNA", at positions 524 to 776 of the family's 1533-position model. The record is from RNAcentral.
GACAGAGGAGCCAAGCGUUGUCCGGAUUUACUGGGCGUAAAGCGCACGCAGGCGGCCCGGCGCGUGGGGUGUGAAAGCUGGCGGCUUAACUGCCAGACGGCAUCCCAUACGGCUGGGCUCGAGCCCUGCAGAGGUCCAUGGAAUUGCCGGUGUAGUGGUGAAAUGCGUAGAGAUCGGCAGGAACACCCAGGGGGAAACCAGUGGACUGGGCAGGAGCUGACGCUCAGGUGCGAAAGCGUGGGGAGCGAACCGG